AUGCCUGCCAAUAACUUUCCUUAAAAUGAUGUGCUAGUGAGAUAUGCACAUGCCAGAUCUUAGGUUUUAGGAAAUGUAUCAAUGUCAUUGGUGUUUUUUACUCACUGACUCUUCAGUUUACUAGGUGUUCUGGCAGAAUGCAAGGUUUUGACUUUUCUUCACCAGGCAGUUUUCACAGAUGGUAAAUACAUUAUAAAUAAAUGUGCCUACUGUUUCACCUGGGUGUUGGGAAAGUACUUAGUCUCUGGCCUUGACUAGGUGCCCCUCUUUGAAGGAGUAGAUGAAUAAGUCUUGUAUGGUUCCGAACGUUAUUUCUUCCACUGAUAAGCUUGACCUACUUCUUGUCUGCCUGUAUGACUGGGGGACCAUUUUUUACAUGGCUUUGUUGGAAAAAUCAGAAUAUAUUUUUGAUUUGAAAUAGUCACACUGCUUUUAUGUUCGUAGAACUCUUUCAUUAUUUUUCUAGAUCAUUCGAACAUCUAUAAGAUUUGUGACUAAUGGUUGACCUAAGGAUUCUUAAAUGAAAUUUGAGGGUUUAAAGUAGGUUUACCAACUUUAAAACACAUAUACACACAGCAGAACACAGUGGCAACGGUAAUAACAGGAUUAUCCUCAUCGCCACUAGUGAAAUGACAGGAUAUUCUAAGCCAAAAUAGAACAUUACUGGUGCUUCUGAAAAAGCCCAGUCACAAUACACUUUUUGAGAGGUGCUAGGAAAAUUUGUAGUAAAAACCAUUCUGUUUCCGUGGAGUUCCCGUCCAUGGCUCAGUGGUUAACGAAUCUGACUAGGAACCAUGAGGUUGCAGAUCCUUAACCCACUGAGCGAGGCCAGGGAUCAAACCUGCAUCCUCAUGGAUGCUAGUCAGAUUUGUUUCCGCUGAGCCACGAUGGGAACUCCAGAUAUCUUCUUCAUGUCCUCUGAACUGCAGUUAUUUUUCUGCACAUUGUAUGAUAGAUGCUUAAGUCUUAACUACAAAUCGGUGAGGGCAUAAAACAAUGGAUGAAAGGGACCAGAGUGGGGAGAAAGGGAGUCUGGUUCUUUGUUUCAGCAGCAACUGUGUUUGCAUAAAAAUUAGAUAGGACUAUAUAAAGCUGGGGUUUAUGAAAAGAAAGGACUUAUUCAUUUGGGUUGGUGGUUAGUUGCUGGUCUCCUUCCAGAUACGUCGUCAUUUCUAUUUCAAUUUCCUGAGCCCGUAGCUUUGGGUGCAUACUGAGAUAUUGAAUGUGAAAGUGAAAAUCUAUAAAUCAUUUUCUUUGUUAAAACAUGUAUACAGAAUCUUGGCCCUAGAAAAUGACCUUAUCUCAGAGGAGUUAUGCAAGUUCAGGAAAGAGGUAAUUUAUGCUGCGAUUCUUUAGCUGGAAGAUUUGUCACCAGAUCACCUUUCUAAUGGUCAUUUUAUUUAAACCUAUGGUAAAUAUGCUUUGAACAGCAAACUGAUUAGUGGAAAUUAUUGUUACAUGUGAAAGGAUGUCUUUGAAGUUAUUUUCGUAGUUAUUGCCAUAUUUUUCUACUUCCUUAAUCUUCUGUUUAGUAAUGAACUCACAUGAUGUUAGGUAUGUCGGUUGUGCGUUUUGUGAAAUAGAAUAUUAAAUCCGUUGAAGUAAAUAUUCUGAUUUGUGGAACUUCCCCUAACCUCUGAAGUUUCCUGAAAGGUUUGAAAUGACAGGAUAUUGUGUGAGGAACAGGUGGUUUAUUUUGUUUUCAGUAUUGUUAGUCACCAGCUAUCACACAGGCUGGAAAGGAGUCAGUACUUUUAGAGACUCUAAAUGACAAAGCGAGCAAGCUUUGAUUGGCUUCACGGCUCCAGAGGUGCAGAGAGGGGACAGUGAGACCCAGACAUGAGAGCGGAAGCGCUGGCUAAGCUCAGCCGACAGCAGGGGCACCCGCACCGGGUGCAGGGCUUCUGCCUGCAGCCCCCACCGAGCGGUGGGCGGGCUGGAUGGCACGGCGCCUGCGCCCAGGAGCCCAGGUCUGUCAUCUGAAAUAGACACUGGAAAGUGUGUUGGUUUUGGUUAAUUAUGAUGUAAUAAAGCACUGAUUGAAUAAAUCAACACGAUAGCACUUGAUCAGUUAUAUUUAACGCACCACUGAGAGGAAAAGAUAUUUGUGUCUUUCAAGUUAAAAGGACUGAGCAUUCUUUUUGGCCCUGAGCAGUUGCAGGACAGGACUGAGCGGGACACGAUGGCUGUCAGGGUGCUGGGCAUCGGGGACUGAGUGGGACACCGUGGCUGUCAGGGUGCUGGGGUCCUGGAUGGCAACUCUGACAGUACUGGGGGCGGGCGUCGGGGACUGAAUGGGACACUGUGGCCGUCAGGGUUCUGGGGUCGGGGACUGAGUGGGACAUCGUGGCUGUCAGGGUGCUGGGGGUCGAGGACUGAGUGGGACACGGUGGCUCUCAGAAUGCCCGAAGCCGGGACCGAGUGGGACACCAUAGCGCUAGGCUGGGCCUCGCGUUGUUAGUCCUUCUUUUGGUUUUCAUAACCUUGGGUUGGAAAUUCUUUCCAGGGACCAAUUUGUAUAUAGAUUUUCAGUCUGGGAACAAAUAAUCUCAUGACCCACUUACAGGCCUUGUUAAACAUUCAGAGUAAUGUUAAAAGACUUUUAAGAUGAAGGCAACUUUUACGUUUUAAAAUAUUUCAAAAUAUUUAUUCUUUUGGGACUAACAACUUCAAAUUAUUUUAUUCAUUCCUUUGAGGGGCUGCAUUAUUUUUAGUAUUAUACUCAAAAUAGCUACGAACUUUGGAUGAUAUACUUUAAAAGAUUAGAAAAGGUAACUACCAAGUUAAACAGCAUUUAGUUGGUUUUAAGAAGUUGUUAAAAUGAAUAAGUAAUUUGUAGAUUAACUGAUUUAAAAGUUAAAUUUAACUUUGGGUUCCAGUGAGUUAAAACACGAGAGAGAGGGUAUUACUCUUUUGUGUUUACUUGAAUUAUUUGAUUUGUAUUGCUGUGUAAACCAAUAUGUUAAUUUAAGCAUACAGCACUGUAAUAGGCAGGGUUCUCUAGAGAAACAGAACCAGUAGGAUACCUAUCCAAACACUCACACCUAUACCUCUCUGUAUGUCUGUAUACGUCCAUAACACAUACACACACAGUGUACAUACAUAACACACACAGAGACACAUAUACAAACAUGCACACACACAUACACACAGGUACAAGGAGAUUUGUUGAAGGAGUCUGCUCACGUGAUUGUGGAGGUUUGGGAGUCCCUGCAUCUGCCAUCUACAAAGUGGCGAUGCAGAAGAGCUGGUGAUGCAGUUCUAGUCUCAGCCCCAAGACCGGGGACCCAGGAGAGCUGGUGGUGUGAGCUUAGUGCACGUGUGAAGGCCCAGGACCCAGGAGAGCUGGUGGUGUGAGCUUAGUGCCCGUGUGAAGGCCCAGGACCCAGGAGAGCUGGUGGUGUAAGUUUAGUGCACGCGUCAAGGCCGAGGACCCAGGAGAGCUGGUGGUGUAAGUUUAGUGCACGCGUCAAGGCCGAGGACCCAGGAGAGCUGGUGGUGUAAGUUUAGUGCACGCGUCAAGGCCGAGGACCCAGGAGAGCUGGUGGUGUGAGCUUAGUGCCCGUGUGAAGGCCCAGGACCCAGGAGAGCUGGUGGUGUGAGCUUAGUGCACAUCUGAAGGCCCAGGAUCCAGGAGAGCUGGUGGUGUGAGUUUAGUGCACGUCUGAAGGCCUGAGAAAACCUGUGUUCCAGCUCAGCAGCCUUAGAGAGCGAGUUCUUCCCUUCUCUGCCUUUCUGUUUUAUUCGGGCCUUCACCAGAGUGGAUGAUGCUCACCCGCAUUGGGGAAGGCGAUCUCCUUAACUCGGUUCACCAGCUCAAAUGCUCUCUCAUCUGGAAACACUCUUGCACUCACAGAAAUCAUGUUUAACCCUGUAUCCGUGCGCCCCAUGAGCCAGUUAACUUGACACAUAAAAUGCACCAGUCCAAACCCUACAGGGUAAUUCUUUGCUAUGCUCCUAAUCGUGUUGUUUCCAAAAGUGCUUGUACUGUAUUUGAAACAAAUGAAACGGGAGAAACUGUUCUGAUGAAAAUAUUACUUUAACAUGAAGUUUCCUUUUCCUGAAAAAAAUAUCCCGUGAUUCCCCCCACCCCCACCCCCAGUACUGGCAGAGUUGCCAUCCAGGUCCACUGUGAAACCCCAUUUUUGGGUAGUCACCUGGGAACAUGUCCGUUCUUGAUCAGUUGCAACCAAGGGGACAGACUGUUAAGACUCCUCCGAGUUUGAGCUUGCCUCCGUCUUGCUGUCCAAACUCCGAUGUUUUCUCACGGGACAAGCAAACCAGUCAGACUGUCAGAGUGGUGGAGUCCAUGCCAUUAGUUUUCUUUAAUGCUUUUUAAGUGACGUUUUCACAAAACGUAUUAUUUAUUGAGUGUGCUCUUUUAGGGAGUGCUAGAAUUAAAGUUCAGGUUCUCUAAAUUAAUAAUUAUCAUUAUAGGCGUUCCCAUUGUGGCUCAGUGGUUAAUGAACCGGACUCACAUCCAUGAGGACACAGGUUCGAUCCCUGGCCUCGCUCAGUGGCUUAAGGAUCCCACGUUGCUGUGAGCUGUGGUGUAGUUCGCAGAUGCGGCUCGGAUCCUG
This 4580-nucleotide long non-coding RNA is filed under the name Sus scrofa (pig). RNAcentral describes it as "lncRNA (ENSSSCG00040035019.1)". The record is from RNAcentral. Lineage: Eukaryota; Metazoa; Chordata; Mammalia; Artiodactyla; Suidae.